GUCCUUUGGGGUGAGGUAGUAGGUUGUAUAGUUUUAGGGUUAUACCCUGCCUGUCAGAUAACUAUACAAUCUACUGUCUUUCCUGAAGUGGCU
Molecule: microRNA precursor, 93 nt
Organism: Pelusios castaneus (West African mud turtle)
Lineage: Eukaryota; Metazoa; Chordata; Testudines; Pelomedusidae
Source: Ensembl